This 301-nucleotide ribosomal RNA is filed under the name uncultured bacterium. RNAcentral's name for it is "partial 16S ribosomal RNA". It matches the Rfam family "Bacterial small subunit ribosomal RNA", at positions 509 to 807 of the family's 1533-position model. The record is from RNAcentral.
CAGUCGCCGCGGUAAUACGAGGGGGGCAAGCGUUGUUCGGAAUUAUUGGGCGUAAAGGGCGCGUAGGCGGUUUGGCAAGUUUGGUGUGAAAUCUUCGGGCUCAACUCGAAGUCUGCAUCGAAAACUGUCGGGCUUGAGUAUGGGAGAGGUGAGUGGAAUUUCCGGUGUAGCGGUGAAAUGCGUAGAUAUCGGAAGGAACACCUGUGGCGAAAGCGGCUCACUGGACCAUAACUGACGCUGAGGCGCGAAAGCUAGGGGAGCAAACAGGAUUAGAUACCCCGGUAGUCCCUGUCUCUUAUAC